This 481-nucleotide ribosomal RNA is filed under the name uncultured bacterium. Its description in RNAcentral is "bacterial SSU rRNA". It matches the Rfam family "Bacterial small subunit ribosomal RNA", at positions 501 to 985 of the family's 1533-position model. The record is from RNAcentral.
CUACGUGCCAGCAGCCGCGGUAAUACGGAAGGUCCGGGCGUUAUCCGGAUUUAUUGGGUUUAAAGGGAGCGUAGGCCGGAGAUUAAGUGUGUUGUGAAAUGUAGACGCUCAACGUCUGACUUGCAGCGCAUACUGGUUUCCUUGAGUACGCACAACGUUGGCGGAAUUCGUCGUGUAGCGGUGAAAUGCUUAGAUAUGACGAAGAACUCCGAUUGCGAAGGCAGCUGACGGGAGCGCAACUGACGCUUAAGCUCGAAGGUGCGGGUAUCAAACAGGAUUAGAUACCCUGGUAGUCCGCACAGUAAACGAUGGAUGCCCGCUGUUGGUACCUGGUAUCAGCGGCUAAGCGAAAGCAUUAAGCAUCCCACCUGGGGAGUACGCCGGCAACGGUGAAACUCAAAGGAAUUGACGGGGGCCCGCMCAAGCGGAGGAACAUGUGGUUUAAUUCGAUGAUACGCGAGGAACCUUACCCGGGCUUGAA